Molecule: ribosomal RNA, 553 nt
Filed under: Arthrobacter sp. CS15
Lineage: Bacteria; Bacillati; Actinomycetota; Actinomycetes; Micrococcales; Micrococcaceae
Description: bacterial SSU rRNA
Rfam family: Bacterial small subunit ribosomal RNA
Source: RNAcentral
GCUUGCACUGGGGAUUAGUGGCGAACGGGUGAGUAACACGUGAGUAACCUGCCCUUGACUCUGGGAUAAGCCUGGGAAACUGGGUCUAAUACCGGAUAUGACUCCUCAUCGCAUGGUGGGGGGUGGAAAGCUUUUGUGGUUUUGGAUGGACUCGCGGCCUAUCAGCUUGUUGGUGGGGUAAUGGCCUACCAAGGCGACGACGGGUAGCCGGCCUGAGAGGGUGACCGGCCACACUGGGACUGAGACACGGCCCAGACUCCUACGGGAGGCAGCAGUGGGGAAUAUUGCACAAUGGGCGNAAGCCUGAUGCAGCGACGCCGCGUGAGGGAUGACGGCCUUCGGGUUGUAAACCUCUUUCAGUAGGGAAGAAGCCGCAAGGUGACGGUACCUGCAGAAGAAGCGCCGGCUAACUACGUGCCAGCAGCCGCGGUAAUACGUAGGGCGCAAGCGUUAUCCGGAAUUAUUGGGCGUAAAGAGCUCGUAGGCGGUUUGUCGCGUCUGCUGUGAAAGACCGGGGCUCAACUCCGGUUCUGCAGUGGGUACGGGCAGACUA